RNAcentral lists this ribosomal RNA (1487 nucleotides) under uncultured Bordetella sp. Its description in RNAcentral is "partial 16S-23S ribosomal RNA intergenic spacer". It matches the Rfam family "Bacterial small subunit ribosomal RNA". The record is from RNAcentral. Lineage: Bacteria; Pseudomonadati; Pseudomonadota; Betaproteobacteria; Burkholderiales; Alcaligenaceae.
GGUUUGAUCAUGGCUCAGAUUGAACGCUGGCGGAUGCUUUACACAUGCAAGUCGAACGGCAGCACGGACUUCUCGGUCUGGUGGCGAGUGGCGAACGGGUGAGUAAUGUAUCGGAACGUGCCUAGUAGCGGGGAUAACUACGCGAAAGGUAGCUAAUACCGCAUACGCCCUUCGGGGAAAGCGGGGACCCUUCGGGCCUCGCACUAUUAGAGCGGCCGAUAUCGGAUUAGCUAGUUGGUGGGGCAACGGCUCACCAAGGCGACGAUCCGUAGCUGGUUUGAGAGGACGACCAGCCACACUGGGACUGAGACGGCCCAGACUCCUACGGGAGGCAGCAGUGGGGAAUUUUGGACAAUGGGGAAACCCUGAUCCAGCCAUCCCGCGUGUGCGAUGAAGGCCUUCGGGUUGUAAAGCACUUUUGGCAGGGAGGUAAGAAACGGCACGGGGAUAAUACCCCGUGCAACUGACGGUACCUGCAGAAUAAGCACCGGCUAACUACGUGCCAGCAGCCGCGGUAAUACGUAGGGUGCAAGCGUUAAUCGGAAUUACUGGGCGUAAAGCGUGCGCAGGCGGUUCGGAAAGAAAGAUGUGAAAUCCCAGAGCUUAACUUUUGGAACUGCAUUUUUAACUACCGAGCUAGAGUGUGUCAGAGGGAGGUGGAAUUCCGCGUGUAGCAGUGAAAUGCGUAGAUAUGCGGAGGAACACCGAUGGCGAAGGCAGCCUCCUGGGAUAACACUGACGCUCAUGCACGAAAGCGUGGGGAGCAAACAGAUUAGAUACCCUGGUAGUCCACGCCCCUAAACGAUGUCAACUAGCUGUUGGGGCUCUCUGGGCCUUGGUAGCGCAGCUAACGCGUGAAGUUGACCGCCUGGGGAGUACGGUCGCAAGAUUAAAACUCAAAAGGAAUUGACGGGGACCCGCACAAGCGGUGGAUGAUGUGAUUAAUUCGAUGCAACGCGAAAACCUUACCUACCCUUGACAUGUCUGGAAUCCCGAAGAGAUUUGGGAGUGCUCGCAAGAGAACCGGAACACAGGUGCUGCAUGGUUGUCGUCAGCUCGUGUCGUGAGAUGUUGGGUUAAGUCCCGCAACGAGCGCAACCCUUGUCAUUAGUUGCUACGAAAGGGCACUCUAAUGAGAUCGCCGGUGACAAACCGAGGAAGGGUGGGGAUGACGUCAAGUCCUCAUGGCUCCCAGGUAGGCUUCACACGUCAUACAAUGGUCGGGACAGAGGGUCGCCAACCCGCGAGGGGGAGUCAAUCCCAGAAACCCGAUCGUAGUCCGGAUCGCAGUCUGCAACUCGACUGCGUGAAGUCGGAAUCGCUAGUAAUCGCGGAUCAGCAUGUCGCGGUGAAUACGUUCCCGGUCUUGUACACACCGCCCGUCACACCAUGGGAGUGUGGGUUUUACCAGAAGUAGUUAGCCUAACCGUAAGGAGGGCGAUUACCACGGUAGGAUUCAUGACUGGGGUGAAGUCGUAACAAGGCAG